ACUAUACUCUCUGAAGAGCUUAAUGCAGUACUAUGCACAGAGAUGCAAAGAUACUGACAUGGGAGAUGAGGAGAUCUAAUCUGGGGAGAUAAGAAAUGAAUCAAGGAAGGCUUCCUGGAAGAGAUGUGACUUCUGAAAGGCUUUGAAGAUGGGGAGAGCUGUCAUCUUUUGGAUCUGAGGAGGCCAAGGGGCUUGAGCCAGACGAGAAUGGGUCACGGGCAUGCUGCUUCCCUCUUCCAGCCUGGAGGACUCUGGAAGAAGCAGUUGAAGCCUCUGUGAAUCUCUACUUGUUUUUCAGCUGUUGAAUAGAUGCCUCCAGGGAAAGAUCUGAUCAUCUGGAUAUGUGAGAACUCGUGAUUCUCACCCUCCUUAUGGGAUUGUACAGCUGUUUAAAGGAACCUGUCUGAGGGAUGUGAUCAAUGACUCCCACAGUUGGGAAAAUAUCCUGCGUCGCAUCUCACAUGGUCCAGAAUUUCAGACACUGAGGCGACGAUAUGCACAAAAACAAUAACUAUGUAUCCGGCAUAGCCAACACCACGCAAUGCACUAAAACCAGUUAGGAUUUUCCAGCUGGGUAAAAGCAGCGUGAUUGUUUUAAAGAAUCUGAAUUUAUCAGAAUACUGCUCGGGUAUCCUGCGCUCAUCCAUUCUCCUCCCUCGCCCUGCUUGGGUAUCCUGAACUCAUCCAUUCUUCUCACAUGCCGGAUUGAAGCCUCACUGCUGUCAGCAUCGUCUCAAUGCCGAUAAGCAGAUUUUGCUCCAGGGCCUCAUCGCUGUCCUGCUCUUAAACAACAAAUGCAAGCACUAAUUUUUGUUUAAGUUUUAAAUAAAUAAUAGAAGCUGUUGCUUUA
This is a long non-coding RNA of Ornithorhynchus anatinus (platypus), 850 nucleotides long. RefSeq lists it as uncharacterized. The transcript has 5 exons. NCBI's taxonomy places the organism in Eukaryota, Metazoa, Chordata, Mammalia, Monotremata, Ornithorhynchidae. The record is from RefSeq and is a predicted model, not a curated record.